RNAcentral lists this ribosomal RNA (454 nucleotides) under uncultured bacterium. RNAcentral's name for it is "bacterial SSU rRNA". It matches the Rfam family "Bacterial small subunit ribosomal RNA", at positions 1 to 507 of the family's 1533-position model. The record is from RNAcentral.
ACGAGUUUGAUCAUGGCUCAGAACGAACGCUGGCGGCAUGCCUAAUACAUGCAAGUCGAACGAGAUCUUCGGAUCUAGUGGCGCACGGGUGCGUAACGCGUGGGAAUCUACCCUUGGGUUCGGAAUAACUUCGGGAAACUGAAGCUAAUACCGGAUGAUGACGUAAGUCCAAAGAUUUAUCGCCCAAGGAUGAGCCCGCGUAGGAUUAGCUAGUUGGUGAGGUAAAGGCUCACCAAGGCUACGAUCCUUAGCUGGUCUGAGAGGAUGAUCAGCCACACUGGGACUGAGACACGGCCCAGACUCCUACGGGAGGCAGCAGUAGGGAAUAUUGGACAAUGGGGGAAACCCUGAUCCAGCAAUGCCGCGUGAGCGAUGAAGGCCUUAGGGUUGUAAAGCUCUUUUACCCGAGAUGAUAAUGACAGUAUCGGGAGAAUAAGCCCCGGCUAACUCCGUG